CCUCUCUCUGUAGCCAGGCCUUCAUGUCAAAAAAAGGGAUGCUGUGUCACUUCUGUCUCUUGUAGGUGAUGAUGAAACCUGUAGAUGGUUAAAGAAAAUGCUUUGUUCUGUGGAAUGCUGCAGUACUCGUGAAAUGUCAUCACAGAGCAGAAAUGUCCGGAUAUUUAAUCCAAACCUCACCUUAUUGGUUGGAAGAAGUUUGUAAAGCUGAGUUUUCUUAUGCAGGUACUCCAAAAUAAGGUACCAAUUCAUCAGUCUAAGAGUAACUUUAUAUGGAUACUGAUGGUGAUGGCUACAGUGUCAAGAGCCAAAAGUGUCCCUCCUGGAGCAGUGGCUCUGUCCACCCGAGCUAGCCCGACACUGCGAUCAGAUGGGGAACAUGCCUCUGGAUCCUGGGAACCAGAGGAGCAGCUAAGGGGGUUUUCCCCUUGUCACGGGAGAGACCACGCCAGCGGUGGAGAAAGGAGUCUGACUCAGCUGGAGAGCAAAGUCCAAGGUGUUUAUUGAGUCCUGGAUGGGACAUCCGAACCUCAGGGGAGCGACUCCAGCUGAGCGCCGGGGAUGAUGAGCUCUGGGCUUAAAUGCAGAGGGGUGACUAAGGGAGGAGACAAACCAACAUCCGAUGAAGGACAAGGUGGGAGUGGAACAGGGUUGGAGGGACAUUUAAAGAAACCAAUGAGAACAUAAAGGGAGGAACCUCCUCGGCUCCUGCCCUAUCACUUGAUGCAUUAUCUACUCAAAAAAGAAAGCAAUGCCAUUUAGCGCUAUGUAGUAAUCUCUUGGGUUUUAAAAACAAAUUAUGAUGGUUGCACCCAAAUGGGGGGAGCAGUAACAGGAAGAGAGAAAUCUUGCUGAGAUGUUCAAAAGCAGCUGUAGGCUAAUGCUUUUUAAUAAAGUUCUCAAAUACAGUGGUAUUGGAACGUCUUGUGCAAAGACGGUUCUUCUGGUAACAUUCAUUUAAAGAUGUCUUCUUAUAUUUCUGCAUUUACUGAAAAUAUUUUGGAGCAAUAUACUCUUGAAGUAUGUGCGUGGAAAAAAUGCUAUUCAUCGUUUUCUGAUGUGUGUGUAUACUUUAUGGUUGUUUCUGUGUAGGUAUAGAAGAGUCCCAUGUGGAUUUCCCACUAACCCACAACCCUGUCGCUUUGGGCAAUGAGUUGUAAUGCAGAUGAUGUUUUGUUCUAGAAGUCUGAGGCACACUUUCUUAAAUGUUUUAACAUCAGCUUGUCUUUCCUG
This is a long non-coding RNA of Hirundo rustica (Barn swallow), 1233 nucleotides long. RefSeq lists it as uncharacterized. The transcript is spliced from 3 exons. The record is from RefSeq and is a predicted model, not a curated record. NCBI's taxonomy places the organism in Eukaryota, Metazoa, Chordata, Aves, Passeriformes, Hirundinidae.